Molecule: ribosomal RNA, 592 nt
Filed under: uncultured bacterium
Lineage: Bacteria
Description: bacterial SSU rRNA
Rfam family: Bacterial small subunit ribosomal RNA
Source: RNAcentral
CCUACGGGAGGCAGCAGUGGGGAAUCUUGCACAAUGGAGGAAACUCUGAUGCAGCGAUGCCGCGUGAGUGAAGAAGGCCUUUGGGUUGUAAAGCUCUUUUGUAGGGGAAGAUAAUGACUGUACCCUAAGAAUAAGGUCCGGCUAACUUCGUGCCAGCAGCCGCGGUAAUACGAAGGGACCUAGCGUAGUUCGGAAUUACUGGGCGUAAAGCGCGCGUAGGCCGUUGAGUUAGUUAAUUGUGAAAUCCCAAAGCUUAACUUUGGAACUACAAUUAAAACUGCUCGACUAGAGUUUGAUAGAGGAAAGCGGAAUACAUAGUGUAGAGGUGAAAUUCGUAGAUAUUAUGUAGAACACCAGUUGCGAAGGCGGCUUUCUGGAUCAACACUGACGCUGAGGCGCGAAAGUAUGGGUAGCAAAGAGGAUUAGAUACCCUCGUAGUCCAUACCAUAAACGAUGAUUGCUAGAUGUUGGAAAUUUAUUUUCAGUAUCGCAGCUAACGCAUUAAGCAAUCCGCCUGGGGAGUCGACCGCAAGGUUAAAACUCAAAGAUAGUACGGCGNGAGAGAGCGACGACGACGACGACGGAGGAGGAG